RNAcentral lists this transfer RNA (69 nucleotides) under Nocardioides anomalus. RNAcentral's name for it is "Nocardioides sp. R-3366 tRNA-Ser". The record is from RNAcentral. Lineage: Bacteria; Bacillati; Actinomycetota; Actinomycetes; Propionibacteriales; Nocardioidaceae.
CCCCAACGGCUGCCAGCAGCCGACUCCCCCGAAGGCGAAAGGCCGCAGGUUCGACUCCUGCCUGGGGCA